UCCUAAAUCUCCAGCUAAAUAGCGAUUAAGCAGAUCAGAUCAGAGAUAUAUCGAAGGAUGAUAUGCGCCGUGAGUGUAGUGGUGAUGCUCAUCACUACGAUGCACAACGGGUGCCCAUCACUGUUGCGCACAGCACGAUGCUUUUGCAUGGUGGAACUGUAGCUUUGUUAGCGAUGAAUGGUUUGAUUUCGAUUGGGGCUCCUUUUUUGGGAAGAAAAAUUUCUGUAGCGAUAAAGAAGAAAGGUAAUGUUGGGAUGGAUAGGGUAUCCCUAAUAUUUGAAAGAAUGAAGUUAAAAUCUGAUUUUUGAAAUGAUAGUUCGAAAAUUAUGGUUAGGUGUAAUUU
This 343-nucleotide long non-coding RNA is filed under the name Olea europaea (common olive). RNAcentral describes it as "long non-coding RNA (OEUR_LNC012836)". The record is from RNAcentral. Lineage: Eukaryota; Viridiplantae; Streptophyta; Magnoliopsida; Lamiales; Oleaceae.